GUGCCAGCAGCCGCGGUAAUACGUAGGGUGCGAGCGUUAAUCGGGAUUACUGGGCGUAAAGCGUGCGCAGGCGGNUUUGUAAGCCAGAUGUNAAAGCCCCGGGCUUAACCUGGGAAUNGCAUUNGGGACUUCAAGGCUUGAGUGCGGNAGAGGAGACUGGAAUUCCUGGUGUAGCAGNGAAAUCCGUAGAUAUCAGGAGGAAUACCCAUNGCGAAGGCAGGUCUCUGGGCUGACACUGACGCUCAUGCACGAAAGCGUUGGGAGCAAACA
Molecule: ribosomal RNA, 270 nt
Filed under: unidentified soil organism R6-140
Description: partial 16S ribosomal RNA
Rfam family: Bacterial small subunit ribosomal RNA
Source: RNAcentral